RNAcentral lists this ribosomal RNA (1373 nucleotides) under uncultured bacterium. Its description in RNAcentral is "bacterial SSU rRNA". It matches the Rfam family "Bacterial small subunit ribosomal RNA", at positions 28 to 1381 of the family's 1533-position model. The record is from RNAcentral.
GAUGAACGCUGGCGGCGUGCCUAAUACAUGCAAGUCGAGCGAACAGAUAAGGAGCUUGCUCCUUUGAAGUUAGCGGCGGACGGGUGAGUAACACGUGGGUAACCUACCUAUAAGACUGGGAUAACUUCGGGAAACCGGAGCUAAUACCGGAUAACAUUUAGAACCGCAUGGUUCUAAAGUGAAAGAUGGUUUUGCUAUCACUUAUAGAUGGACCCGCGCCGUAUUAGCUAGUUGGUAAGGUAACGGCUUACCAAGGCGACGAUACGUAGCCGACCUGAGAGGGUGAUCGGCCACACUGGAACUGAGACACGGUCCAGACUCCUACGGGAGGCAGCAGUAGGGAAUCUUCCGCAAUGGGCGAAAGCCUGACGGAGCAACGCCGCGUGAGUGAUGAAGGGUUUCGGCUCGUAAAACUCUGUUAUUAGGGAAGAACAAAUGUGUAAGUAACUGUGCACAUCUUGACGGUACCUAAUCAGAAAGCCACGGCUAACUACGUGCCAGCAGCCGCGGUAAUACGUAGGUGGCAAGCGUUAUCCGGAAUUAUUGGGCGUAAAGCGCGCGUAGGGCGGUUUCUUAAGUCUGAUGUGAAAGCCCACGGCUCAACUGUGGAGGGUCAUUGGAAACUGGGAAACUUGAGUGCAGAAGAGGAAAGUGGAAUUCCAUGUGUAGCGGUGAAAUGCGCAGAGAUAUGGAGGAACACCAGUGGCGAAGGCGACUUUCUGGUCUGUAACUGACGCUGAUGUGCGAAAGCGUGGGGAUCAAACAGGAUUAGAUACCCUGGUAGUCCACGCCGUAAACGAUGAGUGCUAAGUGUUAGGGGGUUUCCGCCCCUUAGUGCUGCAGCUAACGCAUUAAGCACUCCGCCUGGGGAGUACGACCGCAAGGUUGAAACUCAAAGGAAUUGACGGGGACCCGCACAAGCGGUGGAGCAUGUGGUUUAAUUCGAAGCAACGCGAAGAACCUUACCAAAUCUUGACAUCCUUUGAAAACUCUAGAGAUAGAGCCUUCCCCUUCGGGGGACAAAGUGACAGGUGGUGCAUGGUUGUCGUCAGCUCGUGUCGUGAGAUGUUGGGUUAAGUCCCGCAACGAGCGCAACCCUUAAGCUUAGUUGCCAUCAUUAAGUUGGGCACUCUAGGUUGACUGCCGGUGACGAACCGGAGGAAGGUGGGGAUGACGUCAAAUCAUCAUGCCCCUUAUGAUUUGGGCUACACACGUGCUACAAUGGACAAUACAAAGGGCAGCUAAACCGCGAGGUCAUGCAAAUCCCAUAAAGUUGUUCUCAGUUCGGAUUGUAGUCUGCAACUCGACUACAUGAAGCUGGAAUCGCUAGUAAUCGUAGAUCAGCAUGCUACGGUGAAUACGUUCCCGGGUCU